GAAAAGGGGGGGGCAGGAGCGGCGGGAGGAGGGAGGGGGAAAGGGGGAAGAGGGAGUAGUGGGCGUGAAGCGGGGGGCGGCGGGGUGGUAAGACAGGGGUGAAAGUCCCGGGCGGAACCUGGGAACGGCAUUGGUGACUGCAAGGCUGGAGUGCGGCAGAGGGGGGUGGAAGUCCGCGUGUAGCAGUGAAAUGCGUAGAUAUGCGGAGGAACACCGAUGGCGAAGGCAAUCCCCUGGGCCUGAACUGACGCUCAUGCACGAAAGCGUGGGGAGCAAACAGGAUUAGAUACCCCUGUAGUC
Molecule: ribosomal RNA, 300 nt
Filed under: uncultured Methanosalsum sp.
Lineage: Archaea; Methanobacteriati; Methanobacteriota; Methanomicrobia; Methanosarcinales; Methanosarcinaceae
Description: partial 16S ribosomal RNA
Rfam family: Bacterial small subunit ribosomal RNA (bases 57-300)
Source: RNAcentral